This 477-nucleotide unclassified non-coding RNA is filed under the name Melitaea cinxia (Glanville fritillary). Its description in RNAcentral is "misc RNA ENSMCXG00005021684.1". Lineage: Eukaryota; Metazoa; Arthropoda; Insecta; Lepidoptera; Nymphalidae. The record is from RNAcentral.
UUUAUUAAAUCACGGUUAAAAUGUCGAUAUAUAUAUUAGAAUUAUAACAAUUUCAGCACAUACAUAUGUGAGAGAUACUGUAUUACAUGUAAUCCUGUUACAUCCCUCGUUGGUUGCGAGGUGUGCACAGUAAUCUCUUUGGUUAAACAGAACACAUGUUCCGAAUGUGUAGUGUAUAAAUGCGAAGACAAUAUUAUAUUAAAAUUAAUAUUAUGUGAAGGAAAAUUUCCAUAAUGACCAUUAUUUAUAAUAAUUAUCAAACUGUCCGAAAUAAUCGAUUAAUUAGAUCAACAAAAAAUAGCGUUCCGCCAUUUUUAUUAUUAUUAGUAUUAUAUAUUUAUCAAGUAUACAUACUGCUCAUAAAACUUUGGGUAUACAAUGUUUCAUAGUAAAUUUCAAAUGAGAUUUUAUUUUUCUACAAUAGGUACUUCUGCAAUAUAUCUGUUAAUGCACAAUUUUUGUUAUCUCUGUUUAUUU